CUAAAACUCAUGCUUAGACAUUUCUGUACAUAAUGAGCGCAACAAAACCAUUUCAAUUGGGGAAACUAAUUUCUCAGAACCACCAUACUACACACAAAUAACAACCAAAAUAUAAACUAUAGAGAUUAGAGUAGCAAGAAAACUACUUUUCAUAAACUGUAAGGAUUUACAGCAAUCUAAAGUGGACCACGGGAUCGCCUUAACCGCUGCCAAUUUUAGGUUAUAAAGUAAACAAACGAUUUACUUUUUGUGCUCUCAACUGUGAUUUUAAAAAAUCAAUCUCUGAUUUUUUCUGUUAAUGGUGAUCCAAUAAGCUGAUUCAAUCUCUGCACUUUAAUCGGUAAUUUGAUGAUUCAAUCUCAAACAUGACUGUUGAUUUUUACAAAAAUGGAGUUUUUGAUGAGAGAUUGACGACGAUCGGUUUUUGUUGUUUGUUUGGAAAACACGACUUUUUCAUUUGUCAGACACGUUAUUUUAGCAUUAAAGGGGUGAAAUUGUCCUAAUUCAUUAUAAAUUAUGUUAAUUUUGGCAUAUGGUGAUUAUGAAAACUUUUCUAUUAAAUGGGAGAUUUUUGCAAAUAAAAAAAAUUUAAGGUAAAAACAUAAAAGGAGAGCAUUUUUGGAGGAUUUGUGUUGAUUACCCUUAAUUCAAUCAAAUUAAUCCCACUUUCACCUUCACCCAUCCCACCACUCACUCACCUGCCGCCAACCGCCGCCACGCCAUACCCGUCCACUCCUCUGCAUCCGAAAGAUGGAAGUUUGAGCGAAUGGAAUGCCUUCACUAUCUUUUCCACUUUCAACUGUCAUCAUCUUCAUCAGUCUUUGAAGUUCGAUAACCAUCUUUACAUGGAUCUUAUUGAAGAUGAAGAUCGUAAAAUAUUAUGCUUCAAGGGAUCGAGCAGAUCAUUUGUCAAAUCGGAAAAAAAUAUAUCGAACUUCUCUGUUAACAUUUAUCGUUGUGUUAAAAUUAUAAGAUUUAUGACUUGAUUGUUCUUAUUUUCGAUUAA
This is a long non-coding RNA of Mercurialis annua (annual mercury), 1006 nucleotides long. RefSeq lists it as uncharacterized. The record is from RefSeq and is a predicted model, not a curated record. The transcript has 2 exons. NCBI's taxonomy places the organism in Eukaryota, Viridiplantae, Streptophyta, Magnoliopsida, Malpighiales, Euphorbiaceae.